Molecule: ribosomal RNA, 1748 nt
Filed under: Paenibacillus sp. 3LSP
Lineage: Bacteria; Bacillati; Bacillota; Bacilli; Caryophanales; Paenibacillaceae
Description: partial 23S ribosomal RNA
Rfam family: Bacterial large subunit ribosomal RNA
Source: RNAcentral
GGUUAAGUGAAUAAGGGCGCACGGUGGAUGCCUUGGCACUAGGAGCCGAUGAAGGACGGGACUAACACCGAUAUGCUUUGGGGAGCUGUACGUAAGCUAUGAUCCAGAGAUUUCCGAAUGGGGGAACCCAGCAUCUUUAAUAGGAUGUUACGAUUGUGUGAAUACAUAGCACAUUCGAGGUAGACGCAGAGAACUGAAACAUCUAAGUACCUGCAGGAAGAGAAAGAAAAUUCGAUUCCCUGAGUAGCGGCGAGCGAAACGGGAAAAGCCCAAACCAACAAGCUUGCUUGUUGGGGUUGUAGGACUCCGAUAUGGUCGUUCUUUCAGAUAGUCGAAUGACUUGGAAAAGUCAGUCAAAGAGGGUAAAAACCCCGUAGACGAAAUGUGGAAGACACCUAGGAGGAUCCUGAGUACGGCGGAACACGAGAAAUUCCGUCGGAAUCCGGGAGGACCAUCUCCCAAGGCUAAAUACUCCCUAGUGACCGAUAGUGAACCAGUACCGUGAGGGAAAGGUGAAAAGCACCCCGGAAGGGGAGUGAAAUAGAACCUGAAACCGUGUGCCUACAACAAGUCAAAGCCCGUUAAUGGGUGAUGGCGUGCCUUUUGUAGAAUGAACCGGCGAGUUACGAUUGCAUGCGAGGUUAAGUUGAAGAGACGGAGCCGCAGCGAAAGCGAGUCUGAAUAGGGCGUUUGAGUAUGUAGUCGUAGACCCGAAACCAUGUGAUCUACCCAUGUCCAGGUUGAAGGUGCGGUAAAACGCACUGGAGGACCGAACCCACGUACGUUGAAAAGUGCGGGGAUGAGGUGUGGGUAGCGGAGAAAUUCCAAACGAACUUGGAGAUAGCUGGUUCUCUCCGAAAUAGCUUUAGGGCUAGCCUCGGAAUUGAGAAUGAUGGAGGUAGAGCACUGUUUGGACUAGGGGCCCAUCUCGGGUUACCGAAUUCAGAUAAACUCCGAAUGCCAUUCAUUCAUAUCCGGGAGUCAGACUGUGAGUGAUAAGAUCCAUAGUCGAAAGGGAAACAGCCCAGACCACCAGCUAAGGUCCCAAAAUAUAUGUUAAGUGGAAAAGGAUGUGGGGUUGCACAGACAACUAGGAUGUUGGCUUAGAAGCAGCCACCAUUUAAAGAGUGCGUAAUAGCUCACUAGUCGAGUGACCCUGCGCCGAAAAUGUACCGGGGCUAAACAUAUUACCGAAGCUGUGGAGUACACCUUUAGGUGUAUUGGUAGGAGAGCGUUCUAAGGGCGUCGAAGGCAGAUCGUGAGGACUGCUGGAGCGCUUAGAAGUGAGAAUGCCGGUAUGAGUAGCGAAAGACAGGUGAGAAUCCUGUCCACCGAAUGACUAAGGUUUCCUGGGGAAGGCUCGUCCGCCCAGGGUUAGUCGGGACCUAAGCCGAGGCCGAUAGGCGUAGGCGAUGGAUAACAGGUUGAUAUUCCUGUACCCGUUGUUUUUGUUUGAGCAAUGGAGGGACGCAGGAGGCUAAGGAAUGCAGACGAUCGGAAAUGUCUGUCCAAGCAGUAAGUCUGAAGAGGAGUCAAAUGCUUCUUUUCUUAAGGACAAGCUGUGAUGGGGAGGGAAAUAAUAGUACCGAAGUUCCUGAUGUCACACUGCCGAGAAAAGCUUCUAGUGAGAAAACAGCGGCCCGUACCGCAAACCGACACAGGUAGUCGAGGAGAGAAUCCUAAGGUGAGCGAGAGAACUCUCGUUAAGGAACUCGGCAAAAUGACCCCGUAACUUCGGGAGAAGGGGU